RNAcentral lists this ribosomal RNA (582 nucleotides) under Botryosphaeria dothidea. Its description in RNAcentral is "eukaryotic LSU rRNA". The stretch from base 210 to 363 matches the Rfam family "5.8S ribosomal RNA". Lineage: Eukaryota; Fungi; Ascomycota; Dothideomycetes; Botryosphaeriales; Botryosphaeriaceae. The record is from RNAcentral.
UCCGUAGGUGAACCUGCGGAAGGAUCAUUACCGAGUUGAUUCGGGCUCCGGCCCGAUCCUCCCACCCUUUGUGUACCUACCUCUGUUGCUUUGGCGGGCCGCGGUUCUCCGCGGCCGCCCCCCUCCCCGGGGGGUGGCCAGCGCCCGCCAGAGGACCAUCAAACUCCAGUCAGUAAACGAUGCAGUCUGAAAAACAUUUAAUAAACUAAAACUUUCAACAACGGAUCUCUUGGUUCUGGCAUCGAUGAAGAACGCAGCGAAAUGCGAUAAGUAAUGUGAAUUGCAGAAUUCAGUGAAUCAUCGAAUCUUUGAACGCACAUUGCGCCCUUUGGUAUUCCGAAGGGCAUGCCUGUUCGAGCGUCAUUACAACCCUCAAGCUCUGCUUGGUAUUGGGCACCGUCCUUUGCGGGCGCGCCUCAAAGACCUCGGCGGUGGCGUCUUGCCUCAAGCGUAGUAGAACAUACAUCUCGCUUCGGAGCGCAGGGCGUCGCCCGCCGGACGAACCUUCUGAACUUUUCUCAAGGUUGACCUCGGAUCAGGUAGGGAUACCCGCUGAACUUAAGCAUAUCAAUAAGCGGAGGA